RNAcentral lists this ribosomal RNA (253 nucleotides) under uncultured bacterium. RNAcentral describes it as "partial 16S ribosomal RNA". It matches the Rfam family "Bacterial small subunit ribosomal RNA", at positions 524 to 776 of the family's 1533-position model. The record is from RNAcentral.
UACGUAGGGAGCAAGCGUUGUCCGGAAUCAUUGGGCGUAAAGCGCGCGUAGGUGGCUUCAUAAGUCCGUUGUGAAAGUCAAAGGCUCAACCUUUGAAAGCCGAUGGAUACUGUGAAGCUAGAGUACGGAAGAGGCGAGUGGAAUUCCUGGUGUAGCAGUGAAAUGCGUAGAUAUCAGGAGGAACACCGAUGGCGAAGGCAGGUCUCUGGGCUGACACUGACGCUCAUGCACGAAAGCGUGGGGAGCAAACAGG